GGACCCGCACAAGCAGCGGAGCAUGUGGUUUAAUUCGAAGCAACGCGAAGAACCUUACCAAGGCUUGACAUCCCUUGACCGCCAUGGAAACAUGGCUUCCCUUCGGGGCAAGGAGACAGGUGGUGCAUGGUUGUCGUCAGCUCGUGUCGUGAGAUGUUGGGUUAAGUCCCGCAACGAGCGCAACCCUUGUCAUUAGUUGCCAGCGCGUAAAGGCGGGAACUCUAAUGAGACUGCCGGGGAUAACUCGGAGGAAGGUGGGG
RNAcentral lists this ribosomal RNA (260 nucleotides) under uncultured prokaryote. RNAcentral describes it as "partial 16S ribosomal RNA". It matches the Rfam family "Bacterial small subunit ribosomal RNA", at positions 917 to 1178 of the family's 1533-position model. The record is from RNAcentral.